UAUUAGCGAGUCCUAACGAUGCAUACAAAUGUGCUCCGCGCUCCGUAGGCCCCUCAAGAUUUAUGGGCCUUGAGCUCUCCGAAGCUGUAAACAAGGAGAAAAAAAAGAGAAAGCGAGAGAGACUAGAGGAAAGAGAGCGAGGCCUGACUCGCCCCUCCACACUGUGGGAGAGAAGGGACUCUUAGUAGGGAGAGCUGAGGCGCCCUGAAUUUUUCUUUUUCGAACUUCGAGCCAAGCGAUAUCCAUAAAAACAAGCGAAGACCGGCCUGGAUUCCUGCUGUGUCUACCUCCUUCUCACCAGAGUUACAGAUAUCUUCCCCAAAGGUGUGAAAGGAGUCUUCCUGAACUAAAAUCUUGCCUCCAGAAAUCUCCAGGAUGCUGGGAGGGUGUGGAACUCCCUGGACUGGGGUUAAGCACUGUGGACAACCUCAGCACAACUCUGCCCACAGGACUGGGAACUGGUCCAAGGCAAACCCAUUGUCUGUUGCUGGCAGAGUUCUUGCUCAAAACGUGAGAUCCACGCAACAGCCCACCGUUGCUCUGCACGCCACUGUGGCCAUGCUGGCUUGGCCUGCAACCACCACCAAGGCUGGAGGCAACAGAGUUAGGCUGCCUCAGUGAGGAGUCGGCCGGUAGCUUCCGAGAGGGGGCCAUGCCUGGGAGCAGGGAUGAGGCACCCAGCAUCAGGUACUGUCUCUCUGGUGCUCCUUCUCCCUAAACUCCAGUCCCCUGGCUCCCCUGAUGCCCAGAUGCAUAGAAUAUAAAUCCGAUGAAGCAAGGCACAGGCUGGGGUGGAACUGCCUGUCCUGAGGGUCGCAAUGGGGAACCACCACUGAUCCAUUAGGAAAUACAGUUAAAUCCAUCAGCGCAAGACAGGCCGGCUGGAGGGAAGGCUUUAUGCCUUAGCCCUGCUUCAAGAUCAGGUGUGUUGUUCAAAAACAUUAAUAGUUAAAACAUGCUUUUUUUUUUUUUAGAUAAAAAGCUCACUUUUGUUGCAGAAAUGUCUUCUAAUUGUAUUGUUUCAUACAUUUAAUUUUUUAAGGGUGUAAUUUUUUUUUCCUUUUUGGUUCUGCAAAAUAGGUUGUUCUCAGCCAUUAUCAAUGAAUGGAAAGAGAUGGGUAGAUUUAGUGUUUACCCAUUAGUAAAGGGCCAGCCUUCCCCUCUCCCACCAAAGCUCAGAGUAGGGGAGGGCUCUCUGUGACUUCCCUUUUUUUCUUAAAGCUCCUUAAAGUCACCUACUUUAAGCUAAAGUGACUAAAGUCAUGUGCUGAGCGCCGCCUGGAAUGGUCCUGGAUCCCAUUUCAAAGCUGCAAGCCUCUCUCAACCCAACCCUCAACCCUGGGUUGCUAGAGUCCUGUGGAAGGCUAGCUUCUCCUAAAGGAGUGUGGGGAGGGAGGAUGAGGGCUGCCACGUUUGUCUGGGCUCCCAGGAUGGAGCAGUGCAAACGUUAGAGUGAGUGUGAGCUCACUGCACACAGCAGAACCCUGAGGAUCUGAUAAGGGUUGUCAAUAAGGAUUGCCCCAGCCUCAAGGCCAGAUGCCAAGAAACAGUGGUCCUAUUAUUGAAUCCAGAGAGUCCUGGGUCCCUCUACCUGGGUUGAAGUGGCUAUUAACUGUUUCUGGGUCCCAGAACUCUUUAGGAAACUGACUAAAUUGUCUUUCCCACUAGUAAAUGCACAUGCACACAGCAUCUUUGCAUCUUAGGAGCUGAAACCUCUGGGUUGGGAAUGCUCCCUAGUUAGUAAGGUUUUCUUCCUUUCUGUAACUCCUCCACUGCCUGCCUCUGCUUGUGUGUAUGUGUAGGGGGUGUCAACAAGUCCUUCCCUGAGUGUAGCCUGUCAUAGUUUUCACCAGAGCAGGCGCCUGGCAGAGGCCUUGCAGGUUUCUGUGGAGCCGAGGACUGGCCUACAUGGUCCAAUUACUCAACUGAUUCCUGAGGUGGAGGAGCGCCUUGGGGGAUUGGCAGUAGUGGAGGCCUAGCUGUAGGGAAACCAAUUCCCAUCUCUAGUGGAAACUCCGAUGCCAGGGGCAAGUCUCAAUUGCUAUAAUAAUAGUCAUAAUAAUAACAAUAAUAAUUUAUUUAGCAUAUCAUUAGAUGUGUAUUUACUGUUUUCCCUCUGCUUUUUCACAAGUGUCUCCUAAGGAAUUCUCACAACACCCAGGGGAACCAAUAAUAAGCUAAUUACCACCCUUCAGCUCCUUCCCAUUCCAUCCACAAAGUUUCCCUCCCAGAGCAUUUACAGAACUCCCUCUUGUGUUGUAUACCUGCCUAACACAUUCUCUCCUGUUCCCAUUUCCUCUCUCCUAUUCCUGGAGUCAUCCCACAAGUCUGGAGACAGGGUGAGGAAGGAGAAUGGCCAGGCCCAGAGACGUCCACUCUGCUUUUUUUUUUUUUUUUUUUGUCUUUCUUUCUGUUAUUGAGACAGUGUUUGGGAGAAAAAGUAAUUCCGUACGCCUCUGGCUGCUCCUUUGGGAGGGAAGGCUUGUGCUGUUAUGAUGUGAAGGGGAAGGUAGGAGCUACAGCUAGUCCUGCAAAGGAAACGGCCACUAAGAACAUUCCAGGAGUUCAAGUCAGAUCUCAGACCUGCCAGAGCCCGCACACCUUUUGGUCUCUUCUGGGAAGGAAGGAAAGAGGAGAGGGAAGAAGAAAGCAGGAGGGAGGGAAGAGAGAGAAUGUGUGUGUGUGUGUGUGUGUGGUGUAUUUCCUUGCUAUGAAUAUAACAUAAAUAUUUUUCCUGACUAGAUAAUCACAAAAAUGGCUCUCCUCUCAUGAUGCUGAGGACCAAACCCAGCUUCUCAUAUGUGCUAGACAAGUACUUUUCCACUGGGCUCUGCCUCCUGGUUAUACUUUUAGAAUAUUACUUUCUUCAGGGUAUGGUGGUGGCUCAUAUUUCUAAUCCUGGCACUCAGAAGGCUGAGGCAGGAGGACCAUCAAGGUUUAAGGCCAGCAUGGCUACAAAGCGGGACCUUGUCUCAGCAAUGCCCUCCCACAA
This is a long non-coding RNA of Meriones unguiculatus (Mongolian gerbil), 2992 nucleotides long. RefSeq lists it as uncharacterized. The transcript is spliced from 3 exons. NCBI's taxonomy places the organism in Eukaryota, Metazoa, Chordata, Mammalia, Rodentia, Muridae. The record is from RefSeq and is a predicted model, not a curated record.